Molecule: transfer RNA, 75 nt
Filed under: Blastochloris sp.
Lineage: Bacteria; Pseudomonadati; Pseudomonadota; Alphaproteobacteria; Hyphomicrobiales; Blastochloridaceae
Description: tRNA-Trp
Rfam family: tRNA
About the family: Transfer RNA (tRNA) molecules are approximately 80 nucleotides in length. Their secondary structure includes four short double-helical elements and three loops (D, anti-codon, and T loops). Further hydrogen bonds mediate the characteristic L-shaped molecular structure. tRNAs have two regions of fundamental functional importance: the anti-codon, which is responsible for specific mRNA codon recognition, and the 3' end, to which the tRNAs corresponding amino acid is attached (by aminoacyl-tRNA synthetases). tRNAs cope with the degeneracy of the genetic code in two manners: having more than one tRNA (with a specific anti-codon) for a particular amino acid; and 'wobble' base-pairing, i.e. permitting non-standard base-pairing at the 3rd anti-codon position.
Source: RNAcentral
ACGAGCGUAGCUUAACGGAAGAGCAGCGGUCUCCAAAAUCGCGUGGUGAGGGUUCAACUCCUUCCGCUCGUGCCA